GACGAACGCUGGCGGCGUGCCUAAUACAUGCAAGUCGAACGCUGAAGGAGGAGCUUGCUUCUCUGGAUGAGUUGCGAACGGGUGAGUAACGCGUAGGUAACCUGCCUGGUAGCGGGGGAUAACUAUUGGAAACGAUAGCUAAUACCGCAUAAUAGUAGAUGUUGCAUGACAUUUGCUUAAAAGUUUCAAUUGCAUCACUACCAGAUGGACCUGCGUUGUAUUAGCUAGUUGGUGAGGUAACGGCUCACCAAGGCGACGAUACAUAGCCGACCUGAGAGGGUGAUCGGCCACACUGGGACUGAGACACGGCCCAGACUCCUACGGGAGGCAGCAGUAGGGAAUCUUCGGCAAGGGACGGAAGUCUGACCGAGCAACGCCGCGUGAGGGAAGAAGGUUUUCGGAUCGGAAAGCUCUGUUGUAAGAGAAGAACGAGUGUGAGAGUGGAAAGUUCACACUGUGACGGUAUCUUACCAGAAAGGGACGGCUAACUACGUG
This 495-nucleotide ribosomal RNA is filed under the name uncultured bacterium. RNAcentral's name for it is "partial 16S ribosomal RNA". It matches the Rfam family "Bacterial small subunit ribosomal RNA", at positions 28 to 507 of the family's 1533-position model. The record is from RNAcentral.